This 216-nucleotide unclassified non-coding RNA is filed under the name rhizosphere metagenome. RNAcentral's name for it is "partial ribosomal RNA internal transcribed spacer region". The record is from RNAcentral.
GUAGGUGAACCUGCGGAAGGAUCAUUAAAGAGUUUAUGGACUUCGGUCUACUACUCCACCCUUUGUUUACAAUACCAUUGUUGCUUUGGCAGGCCCGUCGAAAGACAACCGGCUUUGGCUGGUCAGUGCCUGCCAGAGGACCUAAAACUCUUGAUUUAUUAUUGUCUGAGUACUAUAUAAUAGUUAAAACUUUCAACAACGGAUCUCUUGGUUCUG